Molecule: RNA transcript, 4815 nt
Organism: Papaver somniferum (opium poppy)
Lineage: Eukaryota; Viridiplantae; Streptophyta; Magnoliopsida; Ranunculales; Papaveraceae
Exons: 6
Source: RefSeq, a predicted model, not a curated record
AAUCAGCUCUUUCCUGCUGUUUAGGUUCAACUUGACAAUUUUUUUACCAAAAUAGUGUACUAAAUUGUAUCUAGCAUUGGUGGAACUGGACUGAUCAAAUCUACAAACAGUGUAGAUCAUGUUUACUAGUUUAUGACCUCUAGUUUCGACUCCCAAGUUGAUUUUGCCACAAGAUGAUAAGUUUUAUGCACCUAAUAUAGAUUUGCACCUUUCGCUGAGUAAUUUAAGAGCAUUUGACCUAACUAUAGUUUCUUCUCUAGGUGAAAAGUUCCAUAUUCUUUAUUCAUGAAACUAUUAGCCCUUUUUGAUUUACCUUAAUCCAUAUCAAGAAUUACCGAUUAAUGAGUAUUCUUGUGAUUCCAUUGAGUUUUGAUAUACCGCAUAUUGUUAGUUUGAAAAGCUUUUAUUAUUUUUGAUUGAUUUUUAUUUGCAUUGAUUAGUAUAGGAUUUCAUGGUUCGAACUAAAGUUUAGGAGAGAAUUGACAGUGUUUUCGUGUAAUGAUCGUUGAUAAAUGUGAAAGAUCAGGGAUGUGAAUCAUAUGGGUGUGAGUCGUUUUCAGAAAAUUUAUAUUGGUUUUGAUAUACUUGAAUGCUUAGAAUGAAAGGGUAGGAUUAGAACGAAAGGAUGUAGUUGUAAUUUUUUUAUACUUUUACUGGGGCGACAGCUCCAACUAAUCACUGGAGAUAUGAGUUACUCUUCUUUAGACAUCUGGGAGGGGGCGUCUUUUGAUAAGAAGGGAGUGAGAGACUAAAAUUGGAAAGGGAUUUCAGAAAUUAAAAGAGGGAGGGGAAGGAAAAUUGAUAAGUUGGAAAUUCGUUUGAUUUCUGUGCUUGGUAUCAGGUUGGAUUGUAUUGGGAUUGAACUUCUUCAGGUGAACCGGCAGCUGCAGAGGACGGAUUCGAGAAAGGUGAAUGCUAUCUUUGGAUUGAGUGAGUUCUUUGUAUCUUCAAUAAACAAAAAGAAAGAAACAAUGUGGUCUCAGGUGGAAGAUUCAAUCUGAGAUUUCAUAAGGAGUUACUGCAGCUGCUAUUGCUACUCAGGUAUGGUCCUCUGCUUUACUUAGUUUUUUGUUUUGGGUUGAUUUUAGUGAAGUUUAGAUUCUAUUUUGUGUUUAUACCAUGAAUAAAGUUAUGUUUUGGCCAUUGUUAUAGUUUAUUCAAGCAAUUUAUCUCAUGAUGAAGUAUUGUACAAUUUGUGUAGGGUUAUGGUAUGUUUCAGCAAAUAUUGGAUGUUAUAAACAUCUUUACUGUACUAGUUACUAGGGUAUCAUAUAAUAAUUUUGAUGUUCUGUGCAUAGGUUACUGUUUAUUCUUUAUAUGGAUGGUGUAGAUGAACUACUGUGCAAGUUUUGACAUGGAUAUUGUCGUCUUUAGGAAUCAUAAUAUAGGGUAAUCAAAUAUGUCUUCUACCGUUGAUAAGGAGUGGAUGAGUUGUACCCGUAAUUCUGGUAAAUACAUGCAAGGUGUAAGCUUAUUCAUAGAGUUUAUCCGUAAAAAUGGUGGUGACAGUAUGGUGUUCUCCUGUCCUUGUAAACACUGUAAGAAUGGUAGAGGAAUGUUUCCACUUAAGAAAUUAGUUAUCAUUUGCUUAAGAAUGGUAUUGUCCCAACGUAUACAAUGUGGCGUUUUCAUGGUGAAAGAUCAGUUAGGGCAGUUGCUGAGAAUGUGGGAAAUGUGGCAGAGAAUGUAGGAAAUGUAGAUGAGAAUGUAGGAGAUGUUGGUGAGAAUGUUGGUGAGAAUGCUGAUCCUAGUGUAGGUGAGAAUGUUGAUCCUAGUGUAGAUGAGAAUGCUAGGCCACACAGUGGGGUUCACAAUAAUGUUGGCGUCAGCAGCAGCAACAAAAGGUCUUUUUAUGAGCGUGCAAGAGAACCAUUGUACCCAUCAUGUCCUAAAGAGAAGACUGCACUAUAUGCUGCUAUAAAAUUGAAUAACAUAAAGACCCAAUAUGGAUUCUCAGACAAUGGUGUCACUGCACUAUUAGAAUUAAUGAAGGAGUUGCUUCCGGAAGAUAACAAACUGCCGUCUAAGUAUCAUGAUGUAAAAAAGAUGAUCCAAGAACUGGGGAUGGAUUACAUAACCUAUGAUGCUUGCGUUAAUGACUGCAUUUUAUACUGGAAGGAACAUGCAUCACUGGUAAAGUGUCCUGUUUGUCAAGAAUCUAGGUAUAAGAAGGUAUUCAAUGAUGAGAGGAAACUUACGCAAGUUGCUCAAAAGACUUUGAGACAUUUUUUGUUGAUUAAGAGGUUGCAAAGGUUUUACAGCAUUCCGUGGAUAGCAGAGGCAUUUUAUUGGCAUCAUAGAGAAAAUUCAGAUAUGAAUGUUAUGCGCCAUCCAGUAGAUUCUUCAGCUUGGCAAUAUGCAGAUAACUUCUCUCCGGAGUUUUCUAAGGAGCCAAGGAAUGUGACACUUGGGAUUUCGACAGAUUGCUUCAAUCCGAAUGGGUGUUUCGGACUUGGUCACAGCUGUUGGCCGGUUAUUUUAUGUCCGUACAACCUUCCUCCAUCGAUGUGUAUGAAGCGAGAGUUCUCGAUGUUGUGUUUGUUGAUUUCAGGACCAAGAGCACCUGGUAAAGACAUUGAUGUGUAUUUACAGCCAUUGAUAGAUGAGUUGUUGCAGUUAUGGAAUCAAGGUGUUAUAACAUACGACUCUUACACUAAAACUGAAUUUUUGAUGAAAGCAAGACUCUUAUGGGCUAUUAAUGAUUUUCCGGCAUUAGGAACUUUAGCUGGGUGUGUUACACAUGGAUAUAACGCUUGUCCAACAUGCGGAGAAGGGACAGUUUCUGAAUAUCUUCCGUAUAGUAAGAAGAUUUGUUACAUGGGACACCGAAGGUGGCUGCCAGCGAAGCACAAGUAUCGAGAUGAUAGAACACAUUUCAUUGGAGGGGUAGAGCAUGGUUCAGCUCCAUGGCCACUAACAUGGCUGCAAAUUCAGGAGAUGGUAACAAAUAUUAGAACCAAAAAGGGUAAGGGCAAGCCGCCAUCAGCAGCAAGUCUGAAACGUAAAAGGAAAGCUGAGGUCGAGAAUGAAGAUGUUGUUGAUGUAGAAGAUCAGGUUCAUGACCAUUCACUAUUCUCUAGAAGAUCUAUUCUUCAUGAUUUGCCAUAUUGGGGUUCAAAUGCAGUCCUUCAUGUUACAGACGUUAUGCAUACAGAGAAGAACAUCACUGAGCAUCUCAUUAACACUGUUAUGGGUAAUAGCAAGUCAAAAGACAGUCAUAGUGCACGUAAAGACAUGGAAACCAUGGGGAGUAACAAGAAAUUAUGGUUGAAAGUAUAUGAGUGACCGGUAAAACGACAAUGGAAGAUGGUACUUUUGCCAUGACAAAGGAGAAAGUUGCGUUUUGUACUGUUUUGAAGAACUUAAAAGUUCCUUCUGGUUUCUCUUCCAAUCUCCGCAGCAGUGUCAGCAUCGAUCCUCCCGAGCUAAAGAAUUUCAAAUUCCAUGAUUACCAUGUUGUCAUGCAACAUUUGUUUCCUUUGCUGGUUCAUACGCCGACUUCACUACGUAAAGAUCUACGAGUUGCUCUUCAUCGGAUAAGUCUAUUUUUCAGAAUUUUGCGCGCGAAGGUUAUUAACAGAGAACGUCUUUUAAGAGCAAAAGCUAGUCUGGUGGAAGCUAUGUGUAAUCUGGAAAAGCAUUUUCCUCCUUUUUUUCCUUAUCCGUAUACACUUGAUGGUGCAUCUGGCUGAUGAAGCUCUAGUCUGCGGUCCGGUCAGGUAUAGGUGGAUGUACCCCUUUGAGAGGUUAAUGAAAGGUUUCAAAGGUUUGGUACGCAAUAAAAGGUAUAUUUAUGGCUGCAUUGCAAGAGGGUAUACAUUGCGUGAAGCCAGCUUAUACUCUAUGGAGGACCUGUCAACUGAUGGUGAUGGUACUCAUAAACAUACCCGACAAGCCUUUUUAGAUGAUGAUGAUGAGUUUGCCGAUGAGAUGCCUUUGAGUAAAGCUAAGUGUAUAAAAUUAACUCAAGUACAGUUUGAGCAAGCUCUCAGGUGGGUUCUGUCUAAAUAUGUUGGAAUAGAGGACUGGCAAAGGAAGUAUGAUUCCUAUGUUAACAACGCCAAUAAUACCUCAAAGAGUUUCCUUUUUUGGUUGCGCGACGAGUUGUUAGAAGCCAAAGUUGGAAAUUCUGUACUUUGGCGCCUAGUGCAUGGACCUCAGUUCAAGGCACAAUCAUAUAAGAAAUACCAAUUAAAUGUCUUUACUUUCUCUGCACAUAGGUACGAGGAGACGACGGUAUCACAAAACAGUGGUGUGUCUAUCCGAGCAUUUACGAGGCAAAAAGAUUCGGUGGAAACAGAAAUUACAUAUUAUGGAGUUAUUAAGCAGAUUAUUAAGUUGAAUUAUAUGGAAUUCGAAGAAACAGUUUUUUAUUGUGAUUGGGUCAGAGUUCAAGAUAGGACUAAUGGGUGCAAAGUUGAUCCUAACUCAAACUUGAUUUAAGUUAACUUGUAUAAGCUUCAAAGCAUCAAUCAAGUUGUGGAUGAGCCAUUUAUUCUUGCCUCUGAAGCGACACAAGUGUUUUACUCGAAGGAUAUUUCUGAUGAGGGAUUGUCUGUGGUCUUACAUUCACAGCAAGGCUUAACUUCCUUAGUGGAUGAAAUUGAAUAUCCUACUAAAUAUCAGUCAGCUUUUACUGACAAUGAGAGUUUAGAAAAAUUUAUGUGUGUCGGGUCUGGAGUUUAAAAUAAUGUAUGCUGUCAAUGCAAUGUGUGAAAUUACUACAGCUUCUGUUAAAAUUUGUUUUAUCAUUUAUGCAAACUUAAUAGGUUCUGUUUUGUUUGAGAAAUUUGAUUGCGCUGUUUCUGCGUAUGU